Dromaius novaehollandiae (emu) is the source of this 564-nucleotide long non-coding RNA. RefSeq lists it as uncharacterized. The transcript is spliced from 2 exons. Lineage: Eukaryota; Metazoa; Chordata; Aves; Casuariiformes; Dromaiidae. The record is from RefSeq and is a predicted model, not a curated record.
CGCUGACGCCCCCCCGGACCCCCCCUGUUUCCACAUGUGCCGCCCGUCGCCGGGGGGGCAGCGGCUGCUGGCGGAGCUGCGGGCCCCCCCCGCCCUGCGCCCCACGCGCCGCCCCACGGCGCUGACCACCGUCUUCCGCGGCCCCCCCCCCCCCAGCCGCCGCGAGGCCCCGGAGCCGGGGGGCGGGGGGGGGUCGCAGCCGGGGGGCCCCCCCCGACCUGAGCCGCCCUCGGCCGGACCCAGGGACCCAGGCGUCCGGGUGACCCCCAACCCGGGGGGCCCAGGCGUCCGGGUGACCCCCUGUAAUGGGGGCCCAGGCGUCCGGGUGACCCCCAACCCCGGGGGCCCAGGCGUCCGGGUGACCCCCUGUAAUGGGGGCCCAGGCGUCCGGGUGACCCCCAACCCCGGGGGCCCAGGCGCCCGGGUGUUCUCCCGCACCGUGGACCCAGGCGUCCGGGAGUCCCCCCACCCCGGGGGCCCAGGCGUCCGGGCCCCCCCCCCAUCCUUGGGGACCCCCCUGACAACCCCCGGCAGGAGCCGGGACAAUAAAGCGCUUGAUUGACA